RNAcentral lists this ribosomal RNA (407 nucleotides) under uncultured beta proteobacterium. RNAcentral's name for it is "bacterial SSU rRNA". It matches the Rfam family "Bacterial small subunit ribosomal RNA", at positions 9 to 419 of the family's 1533-position model. The record is from RNAcentral. Lineage: Bacteria; Pseudomonadati; Pseudomonadota; Betaproteobacteria.
GAGUUUGAUCUUGGCUCAGAUUGGACGCUGGCGGAAUGCUUUACACAUGCAAGUCGAGCGGCAGCGCGGGGCAACCUGGCGGCGAGCGGCGAACGGGUGAGUAAUGCAUCGGAACAUGUCCAUGUCGUGGGGGAUAGCCCGGCGAAAGCCGGAUUAAUACCGCAUACGCCCGAGAGGGGAAAGUGGGGGGCCGCAAGGCCUCACGCGAUUGGGUUGGCCGAUGUCCGAUUAGCUAGUUGGCGGGGUAAGAGCCCACCAAGGCGAUGAUCGGUAGCUGGUCUGAGAGGAUGAUCAGCCACACUGGGACUGAGACACGGCCCAGACUCCUACGGGAGGCAGCAGUGGGGAAUUUUGGACAAUGGGGGCAACCCUGAUCCAGCCAUUCCGCGUGAGUGAAGAAGGCCUUC